This 254-nucleotide ribosomal RNA is filed under the name uncultured bacterium. Its description in RNAcentral is "partial 16S ribosomal RNA". It matches the Rfam family "Bacterial small subunit ribosomal RNA", at positions 524 to 776 of the family's 1533-position model. The record is from RNAcentral.
UACGUAGGGGGGCAAGCGUUGUCCGGAUUUAUUGGGCGUAAAGAGCGUGUAGGCGGCUAGGUAGGUCCGCUGUGAAAACCCGAGGCUCAACCUCGGGCCUGCAGUGGGUACGGGCAGACUAGAGUGCGGUAGGGGAGAUUGGAAUUCCUGGUGUAGCGGUGGAAUGCGCAGAUAUCAGGAGGAACACCAAUGGCGAAGGCAGAUCUCUGGGCCGUAACUGACGCUGAGGAGCGAAAGCAUGGGGAGCGAACAGG